Molecule: ribosomal RNA, 397 nt
Filed under: uncultured bacterium
Lineage: Bacteria
Description: partial 16S ribosomal RNA
Rfam family: Bacterial small subunit ribosomal RNA
Source: RNAcentral
AUACGAAGGGUGCAAGCGUUACUCGGAAUUACUGGGCGUAAAGCGUGCGUAGGUGGUUGUUUAAGUCUGUCGUGAAAGCCCUGGGCUCAACCUGGGAAUGGCGAUGGAAACUGGGCGACUAGAGUGUGGCAGAGGGUAGUGGAAUUCCUGGUGUAGCAGUGAAAUGCGUAGAGAUCAGGAGGAACAUCCGUGGCGAAGGCGACUGCCUGGGCCAACACUGACACUGAGGCACGAAAGCGUGGGGAGCAAACAGGAUUAGAUACCCUGGUAGUCCACGCCCUAAACGAUGCGAACUGGAUGCUGGGUGCAAUUUGGCACGCAGUAUCGAAGCUAACGCGUUAAGUUCGCCGCCUGGGGAGUACGGUCGCAAGACUGAAACUCAAAUGAAUUGACGGGG